Molecule: ribosomal RNA, 591 nt
Filed under: Bacillus sp. (in: firmicutes)
Lineage: Bacteria; Bacillati; Bacillota; Bacilli; Caryophanales; Bacillaceae
Description: bacterial SSU rRNA
Rfam family: Bacterial small subunit ribosomal RNA
Source: RNAcentral
AGUGGUGGGGCAACCUGGCCCUAAUGGGUUGGGGGAUAACUCCGGGAAACCGGGGCUAAUACCGAAAAAUACAUUCCUUCUCCUGUUGGAAUGUUGAAAGAUGGUUUACGCUAUCGCUAUCGGAUGGGCCCGCGGCGCAUUAGCUAGUUGGUGAGGUAACGGCUCACCAAGGCGACGAUGCGUAGCCGACCUGAGAGGGUGAUCGGCCACACUGGGACUGAGACACGGCCCAGACUCCUACGGGAGGCAGCAGUAGGGAAUCUUCCACAAUGGGCGAAAGCCUGAUGGAGCAACGCCGCGUGAGUGAAGAAGGUUUUCGGAUCGUAAAACUCUGUUGUAAGGGAAGAACAAGUACAGUAGUAACUGGCUGUACCUUGACGGUACCUUAUUAGAAAGCCACGGCUAACUACGUGCCAGCAGCCGCGGUAAUACGUAGGUGGCAAGCGUUGUCCGGAAUUAUUGGGCGUAAAGCGCGCGCAGGUGGUCCUUUAAGUCUGAUGUGAAAGCCCACGGCUCAACCGUGGAGGGUCAUUGGAAACUGGGGGACUUGAGUGCAGAAGAGGAAAGUGGAAUUCCCAGUGUAGCGGUGAA